GGGCGUAAAGGGCUCGCAGGCGGUUUCUUAAGUCUGAUGUGAAAGCCCCCGGCUCAACCGGGGAGGGUCAUUGGAAACUGGGGAACUUGAGUGCAGAAGAGGAGAGUGGAAUUCCACGUGUAGCGGUGAAAUGCGUAGAGAUGUGGAGGAACACCAGUGGCGAAGGCGACUCUCUGGUCUGUAACUGACGCUGAGGAGCGAAAGCGUGGGGAGCGAACAGGAUUAGAUACCCUGGUAGUCCACGCCGUAAACGAUGAGUGCUAAGUGUUAGGGGGUUUCCGCCCCUUAGUGCUGCAGCUAACGCAUUAAGCACUCCGCCUGGGGGAGUACGGUCGCAAGACUGAAACUCCAAAGGAAUUGGACGGGGGCCCGCACAAGCGGUGGAGCAUGUGGUUUAAUUCGAAGCAACGCGAAGAACCUUACCAGGUCUUGACAUCCUCUGACAAUCCUAGAGAUAGGACGUCCCCUUCGGGGGCAGAGUGACAGGUGGUGCAUGGUUGUCGUCAGCUCGUGUCGUGAGAUGUUGGGUUAAGUCCCGCAACGAGCGCAACCCUUGAUCUUAGUUGCCAGCAUUCAGUUGGGCACUCUAAGGUGACUGCCGGUGACAAACCGGAGGAAGGUGGGGAUGACGUCAAAUCAUCAUGCCCCUUAUGACCUGGGCUACACACGUGCUACAAUGGACAGAACAAAGGGCAGCGAAACCGCGAGGUUAAGCCAAUCCCACAAAUCUGUUCUCAGUUCGGAUCGCAGUCUGCAACUGACUGCGUGAAGCUGGAAUCGCUAGUAAUCGCGGAUCAGCA
RNAcentral lists this ribosomal RNA (800 nucleotides) under Bacillus subtilis. Its description in RNAcentral is "bacterial SSU rRNA". It matches the Rfam family "Bacterial small subunit ribosomal RNA", at positions 556 to 1354 of the family's 1533-position model. Lineage: Bacteria; Bacillati; Bacillota; Bacilli; Caryophanales; Bacillaceae. The record is from RNAcentral.